GACGAACGCUGGCGGCGUGCUUAACACAUGCAAGUCGAACGGAAAGGCCCUGCUUUUGUGGGGUGCUCGAGUGGCGAACGGGUGAGUAACACGUGAGUAACCUGCCCUUGACUUUGGGAUAACUUCAGGAAACUGGGGCUAAUACCGGAUAGGAGCUCCUGCUGCAUGGUGGGGGUUGGAAAGUUUCGGCGGUUGGGGAUGGACUCGCGGCUUAUCAGCUUGUUGGUGGGGUAGUGGCUUACCAAGGCUUUGACGGGUAGCCGGCCUGAGAGGGUGACCGGCCACAUGGGGACAAGGAAGGGACCCGGACCCCAAGGGGAGGCAGGGGUGGGAGAUUUUGCAAAAUGGGCGGAGGCCGGGAGGAGCACCGCCGGGUGGGGAAUGAGGGCUUUCGGGUUGUAAACCGCUUUCGCCUGUGAAGAAGCGUGGGGAACGGUAAUGGGUAAAAAAGCACCGGCAAACUACGU
This 467-nucleotide ribosomal RNA is filed under the name uncultured bacterium. RNAcentral describes it as "partial 16S ribosomal RNA". It matches the Rfam family "Bacterial small subunit ribosomal RNA", at positions 28 to 506 of the family's 1533-position model. The record is from RNAcentral.